GGAUUAGAUACCCUGGUAGUCCACGCCGUAAACGAUGAGAACUUGACGUUGGUUUGCUUAGCAAAUCGGUGUCGUAGCUAACGCGAUAAGUUCUCCGCCUGGGGAGUACGGCCGCAAGGUUGAAACUCAAAGGAAUUGACGGGGGCCCGCACAAGCGGUGGAGUAUGUGGUUUAAUUCGAUGCAACGCGAAGAACCUUACCUGGUCUUGACAUGUCAAGAAGUCUGCAGAGAUGCGGAUGUGCCUUCGGGAACUUGAACACAGGUGCUGCAUGGCUGUCGUCAGCUCGUGCCG
RNAcentral lists this ribosomal RNA (293 nucleotides) under uncultured bacterium. Its description in RNAcentral is "partial 16S ribosomal RNA". It matches the Rfam family "Bacterial small subunit ribosomal RNA", at positions 775 to 1067 of the family's 1533-position model. The record is from RNAcentral.